UGGGGAAUAUUGGACAAUGGGCGCAAGCCUGAUCCAGCAAUGCCGCGUGAGUGAAGAAGGCCUUCGGGUUGUAAAGCUCUUUUGUCAGGGAAGAAACGGUGAGGGCUAAUAUCCCUUGCUAAUGACGGUACCUGAAGAAUAAGCACCGGCUAACUACGUGCCAGCAGCCGCGGUAAUACGUAGGGUGCAAGCGUUAAUCGGAAUUACUGGGCGUAAAGCGUGCGCAGGCGGUUUUGUAAGUCUGAUGUGAAAUCCCCGGGCUCAACCUGGGAACUGCGUUUGUGACUGCAAGGCUAGAGUAUGGCAGAGGGGGGUGGAAUUCCACGUGUAGCAGUGAAAUGCGUAGAGAUGUGGAGGAACACCGAUGGCGAAGGCAAUCCCCUGGACCUGUACUGAUGCUCAUGCACGAAAGCGUGGGGAGCAAACA
Molecule: ribosomal RNA, 427 nt
Filed under: uncultured bacterium
Lineage: Bacteria
Description: bacterial SSU rRNA
Rfam family: Bacterial small subunit ribosomal RNA
Source: RNAcentral